GACAGCUAGCACGCAUCUAUCUCCACUAAGGGUCUCCAACGGUCCGCUAAAAGAAAGGAAAACGAUAAAAAAAAAAGGGAAUCCACAAAAUAAAAGGCGACCUCUCUUCUCUCUCUAGGGGACUGACCUGACUCCUCAAUAAUCACUCUCUCUUAGCAAAAAAUCAAGAAAAUAGAAAAAAGAAAACGAUAAAGAAAAUAAGAGAGAGGACCACAAGAAAACCAGUCCUCUCACUCUCCAAAAUGAUAAUCUCUCCCUCUGAACAUGAAGAAAGGGGAGGAAAAUAAAAAGAGAAAGAAAUUGUUCCCUAUUCUUCUCCACAGCGCCAAACAACCGCCUUCCUUCCGUCGGAAUCAACACAGAUCCGCUCACCGCCGGCAAACCUCCGUCCGCGUUCCAACCUAACAACAACGCAUAACCCAUUCACUCUUCAUCUCGUCGCCGCGAAAUCCCAAACUCCAACCACCACCGUCGGAAACUACCUUCGACCUCCAUCCGCGACCCCUCCCUCACCGGAAGCUCCAUCUAAAUCUCCAAUAAAUCCACCGCCUGGACCAGCCGUCACAACAACUCCUCUUCUCCUUUCCGACGAAUGACAUCCACUACACCACCAUCGCGAAACCCACCGUGAAACCGCCGUUUCCUCCUUUUCACACCUACUCUCACAUCAAACCUUCUUAAUCGUCGGCGACGCCCCCUUCCUCCAACAACAACCACUCACCGUCGAUAUCCCUAAAUCGUCGCCAACAACCGCGAUUUCUGAGCGACAGCCCAAAUCUCCGCCCACGAUCUCCGACCAUAUAGUUGUUUAGCGGUAAUUUCAUGAUCAUCAAGCUAUGGAUAAGCUAGAGAUCAAAUAACAAAAGUCGCCACCGCGCUGUUAUUGUUUCCAAGGGAAAAGGGAAAAUGUACGAACAAAACCCAAAAGUAAAAAGUUUUCAAAUUAAAACUAAUAAAAUGUCAGAGAUUACAGGUAAGGGGGUUGGUUACACAGGGAAGGUGUUAACACCCAAAGUGUCCUAGGUACUCCUAGAGAGCCCUUUUUGUGUGCAUAUGUAUUUUGUAUAAAAUGAUGUUUACAAACAAAAUAGAAUGGGGGAUGAGAAAAGAAUUCAUUAAAUA
This is a long non-coding RNA of Lathyrus oleraceus (garden pea), 1122 nucleotides long. RefSeq lists it as uncharacterized. NCBI's taxonomy places the organism in Eukaryota, Viridiplantae, Streptophyta, Magnoliopsida, Fabales, Fabaceae. The record is from RefSeq and is a predicted model, not a curated record. The transcript has 2 exons.